GUGCUCACUUAGGCAGUACAUGUACUAAAAUUGGAACGAUACAUAGAAGAUUAGUAUGUCCCCUGUGCUUGGAUGACAUUCAAAGUUAUGAAGCAUGCCAUAUUGAA
Small nuclear RNA from Vombatus ursinus (common wombat), 107 nucleotides. The record is from Ensembl. Lineage: Eukaryota; Metazoa; Chordata; Mammalia; Diprotodontia; Vombatidae.